RNAcentral lists this ribosomal RNA (113 nucleotides) under Alphaproteobacteria bacterium. The record is from RNAcentral. Lineage: Bacteria; Pseudomonadati; Pseudomonadota; Alphaproteobacteria. RNAcentral also lists the same sequence under 1 other name.
UUAGGUGGUUAUAGCAGUGGGGUUCCACCUCUUCCCAUUCCGAACAGAGAAGUUAAGCCCACUCGCGCCGAUGGUACUGCGUUGCAUCGUGGGAGAGUAGGUCGCCGCCGUUU